RNAcentral lists this ribosomal RNA (483 nucleotides) under uncultured bacterium. Its description in RNAcentral is "partial 16S ribosomal RNA". It matches the Rfam family "Bacterial small subunit ribosomal RNA", at positions 28 to 507 of the family's 1533-position model. The record is from RNAcentral.
GACGAACGCUGGCGGCGUGCUUAACACAUGCAAGUCGAACGCUGAAGCUCAGCUUUUGUUGGGUGGAUGAGUGGCGAACGGGUGAGUAACACGUGAGUAACCUGCCCCCUUCUUUGGGAUAACGCCCGGAAACGGGUGCUAAUACUGGAUAUUCACUGGUCUUCGCAUGGGGGUUGGUGGAAAGGGUUUUUCUGGUGGGGGAUGGGCUCGCGGCCUAUCAGCUUGUUGGUGGGGUGAUGGCCUACCAAGGCUUUGACGGGUAGCCGGCCUGAGAGGGUGACCGGUCACAUUGGGACUGAGAUACGGCCCAGACUCCUACGGGAGGCAGCAGUGGGGAAUACUGCACAAUGGGCGCAAGCCUGAUGCAGCGACGCCGCGUGAGGGAUGGAGGCCUUCGGGUUGUGAACCUCUUUCGCUCAUGGUCAAGCCGCAACAAUGGUUGUGGUGAGGGUAGUGGGUAAAGAAGCGCCGGCUAACUACGUG